AUUGAACGCUAGCGGGAUGCUUUACACAUGCAAGUCGAACGGAGUGGCGGACGGGUGAGUAAUAUAUCGGAACGUGCCCAGUAGUGGGGGAUAACUACUCGAAAGAGUGGCUAAUACCGCAUAAUAUCGGACGGGCCGAGAUGGGAUUAGCUAGUUGGUGGGGUAAAGGUUCACCAAGGCAACGAUCCGUAGCUGGUUUGAGAGGACGACCAGCCCUACUGGAACUGAGACACGGCCCAGACUCCUACGGGAGGCAGCAUUGGGGAAUUUUGUACAAUGGGGGGAACCCUGAUACAGCCAUCCCGCGUGUAUGAUGAAGGCCUUCGGGUUGUAAAGUACUUUUGGCAGAGAAGCGGUAUCUGCAGAAUAAGCACCGGCUAACUACGUGCCAGCAGCCGCGGUAAUAC
This 407-nucleotide ribosomal RNA is filed under the name uncultured bacterium. RNAcentral's name for it is "partial 16S ribosomal RNA". It matches the Rfam family "Bacterial small subunit ribosomal RNA", at positions 30 to 526 of the family's 1533-position model. The record is from RNAcentral.